GAUGAACGCUGGCGGCGUGCCUAAUACAUGCAAGUCGAACGAGGUGCUUUUGUAGCAAUACGAAGGUAUCCUAGUGGCGAACGGGUGAGUAACGCGUUGGUGACCUGCCCCAAAGUGUGGGAUAACAGUUCGAAAGGAUUGCUAAUACCGCAUGUGGUCAUUGGAAUUAGAAACCGAUGACAAAAGCAGUAAUGCGCUUUGGGAGGGACCUGCGUCCCAUCAGCUAGUUGGUGAGGUAACGGCCCACCAAGGCUACGAUGCGUAGCAGCGCUGAGAGGCGGAACUGCCACACUGGGACUGAGACACGGCCCAGACUCCUACGGGUGCAG
Molecule: ribosomal RNA, 329 nt
Filed under: uncultured Chloroflexota bacterium
Lineage: Bacteria; Bacillati; Chloroflexota
Description: bacterial SSU rRNA
Rfam family: Bacterial small subunit ribosomal RNA
Source: RNAcentral